Molecule: long non-coding RNA, 847 nt
Organism: Lolium perenne
Lineage: Eukaryota; Viridiplantae; Streptophyta; Magnoliopsida; Poales; Poaceae
Source: RefSeq, a predicted model, not a curated record
GAUGGGUGAGUAUUAUCCCGGCCCAUCCCCGAAUCCCCGUCAAUCCCCAGGAGCCCAUUUGGUGCUGGAGUUUUGGGCCAAAAGAUCCCCGCCCAUCCCCGCUUAACCCCGUCCCCGGCCCAUUUUUUGGCUUGGACUGAAUCCCGGACGUGGACCUCGCGUAUUAUCCCCGUCCCCGACUCCCAGUCUCGUCUCCAUCCUCGUCCUUUUCCGAACCCUACCGAGCGAGCGACCGGCGGCAACCGACCGGAGGCGAGCGGAGCUGCUGCGGGAGGGGCAGGAGGAGCGGAGCAUCUUACCGGCGGUAGGGGUGGAGAAUCUUACCGGCGGGAGGGGCGGGAGAGGCAGAGCAUCUUACCGGCGGGAGGAGAUGGAUCCCGCCUAGCUGCUCCCACAUCAGAUCACCGACGUUCUUGCAGACUGACCGGCGCCGCCAACUACUUCCGUUCUGAUCUCCGAAGCUACUCUACAGUUGGAAGCUUUGGUUGGUAACCUAGAAGAUGCAACAUUUUCCAUCGUUAGACAGGCCUCGAAGUUGAACCUGUCAUCAGUACUUCGACGGGCAUCAAAUCGUUUCAGUUUCCAAAAGCCUUCGUAGCCACUGCUCCCGUCUACGUCUACUGUCGCACAUGUCGCUGCAAUUUCUACCAGUGAUGGCACCUGUGAUGUGUGCUCGCGUCUGAUGUUGGUCAAAAGACUGUUUGUUGUUGACUGGUGUAACCUGUUAUGAUAUUUUGUAGUGUCAUGGUUGCUCAGAAGUUGCAAGGUUCACAUGUUAUGUUGUCUGUGAUGAGAAUUGUGACAACAUGAGUUCCUUUUCCACUGUAUCCUGGAUUUUGGACUUUCA